CCGCAAGGAGCCAGCCGUCUAAGGUGGGACAGAUGAUUGGGGUGAAGUCGUAACAAGGUAGCCGUAGGAGAACCUGCGGCUGGAUCACCUCCUUUCUAAGGAA
This 103-nucleotide ribosomal RNA is filed under the name Ligilactobacillus salivarius. RNAcentral describes it as "partial 16S ribosomal RNA". It matches the Rfam family "Bacterial small subunit ribosomal RNA", at positions 1439 to 1533 of the family's 1533-position model. The record is from RNAcentral. Lineage: Bacteria; Bacillati; Bacillota; Bacilli; Lactobacillales; Lactobacillaceae.